UGAACUAGCUAACUGAAAUCACAAGUACAUGAUAUGUGUCACUUGAGAUAACGUAAGGGAUAAUAAUGAUAUUACCUUACUAUUAGUGUCGUCCAAAGCUGGUGCCAGAAGGCUCGGUAAGGCCAGAGACGCAAACGUUAGUCAUUUAUUAACAGGCGUAAAGGGAUUCAGGUGAAGUAUCUACACUUUAAAAUUUUAUUUUAUAGUCGCAGUAGUAGUAGUAGCACUAUGCGGUAGAUCACAUGUAUCUCUAAUCAGGCGUAAAGGGUUUGUAGGCUGCUUUGAAAAUAUUCAUUUAAUAUAGCCAAAGUUUAUGAAUAUCAAUUAAAGCUAGAAUCUAAUAGAGGAUAUGUACGAAAUAAUGCUUGGUAGAGGGCCGAUAUCCAAAGACAUCAAGUGGAGUACCAAUGGCGUAGGCAUUUAUCCAUUAAAGAUUGACGCUGAGAAACGAAGGUGAGGGUAGGAAAUAGGAUUAGAUACCCAGAUACUCCUCUCUGUCAACGAUGAAUGGUAGUUUGUUAGUCUUUUUAGACUAGUGACGAAGUUAACACGAUAACCAUUCCGCCUUGUGAGUACGACUGCAAAGUUGAAAACAAAAAAUUAGUCGGUCUCGGAGCAAA
Molecule: ribosomal RNA, 620 nt
Filed under: Antrodiella fissiliformis
Lineage: Eukaryota; Fungi; Basidiomycota; Agaricomycetes; Polyporales; Steccherinaceae
Description: SSU rRNA
Rfam family: Bacterial small subunit ribosomal RNA (bases 240-620)
Source: RNAcentral